UACGUAGGGGGCUAGCGUUGUCCGGAAUCAUUGGGCGUAAAGAGCGCGUAGGCGGCUAGAUAAGUCCGGUGUGAAAGUCACAGGCUCAACCUGUGAAUGCCGCUGGAAACUGUCUGGCUAGAGUCCGGAAGGGGCGAGUGGAAUUCCUGGUGUAGCGGUGAAAUGCGCAGAUAUCAGGAGGAACACCAAUGGCGAAGGCAGCUCGCUGGGACGGUACUGACGCUGCGGCGCGAAAGCGUGGGGAGCAAACAGG
This 253-nucleotide ribosomal RNA is filed under the name uncultured bacterium. RNAcentral describes it as "partial 16S ribosomal RNA". It matches the Rfam family "Bacterial small subunit ribosomal RNA", at positions 524 to 776 of the family's 1533-position model. The record is from RNAcentral.